This 908-nucleotide ribosomal RNA is filed under the name uncultured bacterium. Its description in RNAcentral is "bacterial SSU rRNA". It matches the Rfam family "Bacterial small subunit ribosomal RNA", at positions 8 to 916 of the family's 1533-position model. The record is from RNAcentral.
AGAGUUUGAUCCUGGCUCAGGACGAACGCUGGCGGCGUGCCUAACACAUGCAAGUCGAGCGGUAUAUGGUGGAAUGAAACUUCGGUCGAGUGAAGCCAUAGAGAGCGGCGGACGGGUGAGUAACGCGUAGGCAACCUGCCCCAUACAGAGGGAUAGCCUCGGGAAACCGGGAUUAAAACCUCAUAACGCGAGGAGUUCACAUGGACUUCUCGCCAAAGAUUCAUCGGUAUGGGAUGGGCCUGCGUCUGAUUAGCUAGUUGGUGAGGUAACGGCUCACCAAGGCGACGAUCAGUAGCCGACCUGAGAGGGUAAUCGGCCACAUUGGAACUGAGACACGGUCCAAACUCCUACGGGAGGCAGCAGUGGGGAAUAUUGCACAAUGGGCGAAAGCCUGAUGCAGCAACGCCGCGUGAGCGAUGAAGGCCUUUGGGUCGUAAAGCUCUGUCCUUGGGGAAGAAACAAAUGACGGUACCCUUGGAGGAAGCCCCGGCUAACUACGUGCCAGCAGCCGCGGUAAUACGUAGGGGACGAGCGUUAUCCGGAAUUAUUGGGCGUAAAGAGUGCGUAGGUGGCCAUGUAAGCGCGGGGUGAAAGGCAAUAGCUUAACUAUUGUAAGCCUUGCGAACUGUGUGGCUUGAGUGCAGGAGAGGAAAGUGGAAUUCCUAGUGUAGCGGUGAAAUGCGUAGAUAUUAGGAGGAACACCAGUGGCGAAGGCGACUUUCUGGACUGUAACUGACACUGAGGCACGAAAGCGUGGGGAGCAAACAGGAUUAGAUACCCUGGUAGUCCACGCCGUAAACGAUGAGCACUAGGUGUCGGGGUCGCAAGACUUCGGUGCCGCAGUUAACGCAUUAAGUGCUCCGCCUGGGGAGUACGCACGCAAGUGUGAAACUCAAAGGAAUUGACGG